AGCGAACGCUGGCGGCAGGCUUAACACAUGCAAGUCGAGCGGGCAUCUUCGGGUGUCAGCGGCGGACGGGUGAGUAACGCGUGGGAACGUGCCUUCUGGUUCGGAAUAACUCAGGGAAACUUGAGCUAAUACCGGAUACGCCCUUUUGGGGAAAGGUUUACUGCCGGAAGAUCGGCCCGCGUCUGAUUAGCUAGUUGGUGGGGUAACGGCCUACCAAGGCGACGAUCAGUAGCUGGUCUGAGAGGAUGAUCAGCCACACUGGGACUGAGACACGGCCCAGACUCCUACGGGAGGCAGCAGUGGGGAAUAUUGGACAAUGGGCGCAAGCCUGAUCCAGCCAUGCCGCGUGAGUGAUGAAGGCCUUAGGGUUGUAAAGCUCUUUUAUCCGGGACGAUAAUGACGGUACCGGAGGAAUAAGCCCCGGCUAACUUCGUGCCAGCCGCCGCGGUAA
RNAcentral lists this ribosomal RNA (451 nucleotides) under uncultured bacterium. Its description in RNAcentral is "partial 16S ribosomal RNA". It matches the Rfam family "Bacterial small subunit ribosomal RNA", at positions 29 to 523 of the family's 1533-position model. The record is from RNAcentral.